This 253-nucleotide ribosomal RNA is filed under the name uncultured bacterium. RNAcentral describes it as "partial 16S ribosomal RNA". It matches the Rfam family "Bacterial small subunit ribosomal RNA", at positions 524 to 776 of the family's 1533-position model. The record is from RNAcentral.
UACGAGGGGGGCAAGCGUUGUUCGGAAUUAUUGGGCGUAAAGGGUGCGUAGGCGGUUUGGUAAGUCUGAUGUGAAAUCUAUGGGCUCAACUCAUAGUCUGCAUCGGAAACUGCCGGGCUUGAGUGUGGGAGAGGUGAGUGGAAUUCCUGGGGUAGCGGUGAAAUGCGUAGAUAUCAGGAGGAACACCUGUGGCGAAAGCGGCUCACUGGACCAUAACUGACGCUGAUGCACGAAAGCUAGGGGAGCAAACAGG